GCGCCAAUGCGCGAAAGCGUGACGCAGCGACGCCGCGUGGGGAUGAAGGCCUUCGGGUUGUAAACCCCUUCGCCAGGGACGAAGCGAGAGUGACGGUACCUGGAGAAGAAGUCCCGGCUAACUACGUGCCAGCAGCCGCGGUAACACGUAGGGGACGAGCGUUGUCCGGAUUCAUUGGGCGUAAAGCGCGCGUAGGCGGUCGUGCAAGUCGGUUGUGAAAUCCCGGGGCUCAACCCCCGGGACUGCGUCCGAAACUGCGCGACUGGAGGCAGGUAGGGGAGAUCGGAAUUCCUGGUGUAGCGGUGAAAUGCGCAGAUAUCAGGAGGAACACCGGUGGCGAAGGCGGAUCUCUGGGCCUUGCCUGACGCUGAGGCGCGAAAGCUAGGGGAGCGAACAGGAUUAGAUACCCUGGUAGUCCUAGCCGUAAACGUUGGGUGCUAGGUGUGGGCGGACAUCGACCCCGUCCGUGCCGAAGCUAACGCAUUAAGCCACCCCGCCUGGGGAGUACGGCCGCAAGGCUA
RNAcentral lists this ribosomal RNA (521 nucleotides) under uncultured Actinomycetes bacterium. RNAcentral describes it as "bacterial SSU rRNA". It matches the Rfam family "Bacterial small subunit ribosomal RNA", at positions 366 to 896 of the family's 1533-position model. The record is from RNAcentral. Lineage: Bacteria; Bacillati; Actinomycetota; Actinomycetes.